ACGGCUCAGUAACACGUAGUCAACCUGCCCUGGAGACAUGGACAACCCCGGGAAACUGGGAUUAAUCCGUGAUAGGUCAUCUCAUCUGGAAGGAGAGAUGGCUUAAAGGGGUACGCGGGCUUCUUCUGCGUAUUCGCUCCAGGAUGGGACUGCGACCGAUCAGGCUGUUGGCGGGGUAAUGGCCCACCAAACCUGUAACCGGUACGGGCCUUGAGAGAGGUGGCCCGGAGAUGGACACUGAGAGAAGGGUCCAGGUCCUACGGGGCGCAGCAGGCGCGAAACCUUCGCAAUGCGCGAAAGCGUGACGAGGUUAAUCCGAGUGGCCUCCGCUGAGGAGGUCUUUUGUCAGCUGUAAAUAGGCGGGCGAAUAAGGGGAGGGCAAGCCUGGUGUCAGCCGCCGCGGUAAUACCAGCUCCUCGAGUGGUCGGGGCGAUUAUUGGGCCUAAAGCAUCCGUAGCCGGUUCCGUAGGUCCUCUGUUAAAUCCAACCGCUUAACGGUUGACCUGCAGAGGAUACCGCGGGACUAGGAGGCGGGAGAGGCGGACGGUACUCCGCGUGUAGGGGCAAAAUCCUUUGAUCCGCGGAAGACCACCAGUGGCGAAGGCGGUCCGCCAGAACGCGCUCGACGGUGAGGGAUGAAAGCUGGGGGAGCGAACCGGAUUAGAUACCCGGGUAGUCCCAGCCGUAAACGAUGCUAGCUAGAUGAUUCAUUCGCAAGUCGCGAAUGAAGUGUCGCAGGGAAGCCGUUAAGCUAGCCGCCUGGGGAGUACGGUCGCAAGACUGAAACUUAAAGGAAUUGGCGGGGGAG
This 808-nucleotide ribosomal RNA is filed under the name uncultured archaeon. RNAcentral's name for it is "bacterial SSU rRNA". It matches the Rfam family "Archaeal small subunit ribosomal RNA", at positions 85 to 876 of the family's 1478-position model. The record is from RNAcentral.